CAAUAGCGUAUAUUAAAGUUGUUGCAGUUAAAAAGCUCGUAGUUGGAUUUCUGGUGGGAGCGAUCGGUCUGGCGCUUAGCGCGAGUACUUGCAUCGUCUCCGGCCAUCCUUGGGGAGAGUCUGUCUGGCAUUAGGUUGUCGGGCAGAGGAUCUUCAUCGUUUACUGUGAAAAAAUUAGAGUGUUCAAAGCAGGCUUAUGCCGUUGAAUAUAUUAGCAUGGAAUAAUAAGAUAGGACUUUGGUACUAUUUUAUUGGUUUGCGCACCAAAGUAAUGAUUAAUAGGGACAGUUGGGGGUAUUCGUAUUCCGUUGUCAGAGGUGAAAUUCUUGGAUUUACGGAAGACGAACUACUGCGAAAGCAUUUACCAAGGAUGUUUUCAUUAA
This 383-nucleotide ribosomal RNA is filed under the name uncultured eukaryote. RNAcentral's name for it is "partial 18S ribosomal RNA". It matches the Rfam family "Eukaryotic small subunit ribosomal RNA", at positions 592 to 976 of the family's 1831-position model. The record is from RNAcentral.